AGAAAGCAUUGCAGUAACUUGCAUCCGGCUAAUAUGUGUUGAGGCAGAAUUUGCCGACUGUGCACCAGAUAUAAUUUGGAUUUCGGAAUUUAUCAAAAUGCAUUCUAAAUCAACUGUGGCAAACAUCGGUUUUGAUUGCUCGUAAUUUUUUUUAAUCAGCCAAAACUACAUAAAGAAUCGUCAUAGUGAUAUCUGGGAUUGUGAUGAAUCAUCCCCAUCGUCUAACGAAUGCUGACUGCAGUACAUCGAAUGACUAUUGACUGUGGUUAAUAUUAAAACCACAGCAAAGGAAAAGGAACAAAAAUGCUAUCCUUUGUGUGUUUACCUUGUUUCCAAACGACGAAACCCCCGGUUCGUAGAAGGAAGCUUCUCUGCAUUGCAUUAACUUAUUGUUACGUCCGGCGGGAAGCAAAUGAUUUCCGUUUCCAACAGGGUUACGACCCAGUACUCUAGCAAGGUUGAUCAUUUAUUGCAUUUUCAUUGGCUUGGUUGGCGACAAGGACAUUCGUGUUUAUUUAUAUACUAGCAUUAUUUGGAUGUGAUUUGAAUUCGAAAUGGUAAUUAUUUCCUUCGCUGCUAACGAUUUUGUCCCCGUGACAAAGAACGUGAACAUGCAAUCUACGGUAUUAAAGGUAAAGCAUACGAUUGUUUUUCACAAGUAAUGCACAGGUAUGCAGGAAGUACAUACACCUUCACUAAAACUAGAAUAGCUUGAAAUGUAAUAGUUGUUUUUACCGACAAAAGUAGAACAUCGGAAAUCAAAACCCACGCCUGUAACAAUCUAUUUACAAACAAAAUUAUCUCUAGGUCAAUUGCCGACAUGUAAAUUGUAAAUGUCUUCCAGUACAGCCAAUGCCCAUGAAGUCAAAGUACGACUGGCUAGA
Long non-coding RNA from Wyeomyia smithii (pitcher-plant mosquito), 884 nucleotides. RefSeq lists it as uncharacterized. The transcript has 3 exons. Lineage: Eukaryota; Metazoa; Arthropoda; Insecta; Diptera; Culicidae. The record is from RefSeq and is a predicted model, not a curated record.